GACGAACGCUGGCGGCGUGCUUAACACAUGCAAGUCGAACGGAAAGGCCCUGCUUUUGUGGGGUGCUCGAGUGGCGAACGGGUGAGUAACACGUGAGUAACCUGCCCUUGACUUUGGGAUAACUUCAGGAAACUGGGGCUAAUACCGGAUAGGAGCUCCUGCUGCAUGGUGGGGGUUGGAAAGUUUCGGCGGUUGGGGAUGGACUCGCGGCUUAUCAGCUUGUUGGUGGGGUAGUGGCUUACCAAGGCUUUGACGGGUAGCCGGCCUGAGAGGGUGACCGGCCACAUGGGGACUGAGAGACGGCCCAGACUCCUACGGGAGGCAGCAGUGGGGAAUAUUGCACAAUGGGCGGAAGCCUGAUGCAGCGACGCCGCGUGCGGGAUGACGGCCUGCGGGGUGUAAACAGCUGUCGGCUGUGACGAAGCGGGAGUGACGGUAAUGGGUAAAGAAGCACCGGCUAACUACGUG
RNAcentral lists this ribosomal RNA (468 nucleotides) under uncultured bacterium. RNAcentral's name for it is "partial 16S ribosomal RNA". It matches the Rfam family "Bacterial small subunit ribosomal RNA", at positions 28 to 507 of the family's 1533-position model. The record is from RNAcentral.